This is a long non-coding RNA of Fundulus heteroclitus (mummichog), 355 nucleotides long. RefSeq lists it as uncharacterized. NCBI's taxonomy places the organism in Eukaryota, Metazoa, Chordata, Actinopteri, Cyprinodontiformes, Fundulidae. The transcript is spliced from 3 exons. The record is from RefSeq and is a predicted model, not a curated record.
GACACUUUUCUUAAUUUACCGGCUGAUGCAGCAUCAAAAGAUCUCCUGAUUUUUCCUGUGUGGAAACCAGGACACUGGUUCCUCUAGCACCAUGACAAGAAUCGAUGAAGCAGUAUGCUGGAUACGGGACAACAUGUCUCUUUUCCGUGGACAUGUUGAACUGCCCAGCAUAUUGUCCAUGACAGCAGUUCUUUCAGAACAUCGCCAAUGAUGAUGACAUCCAUGAUUCAAGAGAAUGCCUCCCUUUUGUUUUUGAAUAUCAAGAAGAGUACACAGUUUUUAUUAAUUCUUGUUCAGCUGUGUCGGCAAUGUUUAACACCCCUACCCUUUCCCCUUAGCCAGAGGACCGGCACCA